UACGGAGGGUGCAAGCGUUGCUCGGAAUUAUUGGGCGUAAAGGGUAGGUAGGUGGUCUCAUUUGUCUGGGGUGAAAGCCUUGAGCUUAACUCGAGAAGUGCCCCAGAAACGGUGAGACUAGAGUCCUGGAGAGGGUCGUGGAAUUCCCGGUGUAGCGGUGAAAUGCGUAGAUAUCCGGAGGAACACCGGUGGCGAAGGCGGCUUCCUGGACCGAUUACUGACGCUGAGGCGCGAAAGCUAGGGGAGCAAACGGG
This 254-nucleotide ribosomal RNA is filed under the name uncultured bacterium. RNAcentral describes it as "partial 16S ribosomal RNA". It matches the Rfam family "Bacterial small subunit ribosomal RNA", at positions 524 to 776 of the family's 1533-position model. The record is from RNAcentral.